RNAcentral lists this long non-coding RNA (905 nucleotides) under Homo sapiens (human). RNAcentral describes it as "RNF217 antisense RNA 1". The record is from RNAcentral. Lineage: Eukaryota; Metazoa; Chordata; Mammalia; Primates; Hominidae.
GCUGCUCCGAGGCGGGGGCCUCGGGCAGGUCGCUCUCCACGCAGUACACGGAGCAGAAGACUUGUCUCUUGGCGAGGGACGGGCGCCGCUGACCCAGCACGUCCAGGACCAGUCCGUCGGCGGCCCCCACGCGGGUCCUGGGCUCCAGCUCUUCGCCGGGGGGCGCCUCCUGCUGUUCAUCCCCUCCCUCUUUUCGAUCCCCAGCUUCCUCCUCUUCCUCCUCCAGCUCCAACUGCAGUGGCAAGGUCUGGGGAUUGAGAGGCCCGGCAUGACUAAGAGAUAUCGUGAAAUUACAACUCAACAAUGAAUUACAGCACAGGCUUUUCACAACUAAGAGACUGUCCAUCAUGGUGCCAGUUUUUCUCAAAAUGGCAUGUGUGCAUGAAAUUCUACAGGCAUAUGGGGUCGUGAUCUGCUAAUCUCCAGUUAUUAUAACUCCUUCCUGUUGCCUUGUGAAGAAGGCUCCUGCUUCCCCUUCACCUUCUGCGCGAUUGUAAGUUUCCUGAGGCCUCCUAGCCAUGCUUCUUGUUCACUCUGCGGAACUACCAAAUUAUGAUUGUAUGUCCCAGAAAUUCACUUAGAAGCUAAUAGAAAAAAUGAAACCAAAGCCUUUUGAGAGUUGAAAAUUUAUCAUGACAUAUGCUGGCUGCACAGUCAAAACUUAUCACUGCCCACGACUUCGGAAGCAUGACAGGAGAGCUGUGGGAGCCACUUCCUCGUCAGACGUGGUUUGAUAUGUCAAGUGAGAACCUGAGUAAAGCAAAGAGGUAAUCUUUUUAGCUGGGCCUUCCAUAUGUAGGGUGAUUGAAGUGAUUCCAUUAAUCUCUACUCACAAAAUAAAAAAAAGACGUUGUUUUAUAGAGUUUAUAAUUCUCUGAUGAGUUUUUUUAAGUUCCAAUAUAUCA